Molecule: RNA transcript, 2254 nt
Organism: Thrips palmi
Lineage: Eukaryota; Metazoa; Arthropoda; Insecta; Thysanoptera; Thripidae
Gene: SC35
Gene name: serine/arginine-rich splicing factor 2
Exons: 5
Source: RefSeq, a predicted model, not a curated record
GUCAGCGACUGCUCCCCCAGCCGGCCUGGCCCAGCAGGCAGCAGAGUCUGUCCGCCGCCGCCGUCCCGCUACCAAUCAGCCAUGUUCGUUGAGAGUUGGAAAAAAAUCGCUCCGUGAAUCAAGCGUUCCACGGCCUGCCCCCCUGUUCGAAGUGCCCUAGUUUUGUAGUGAUACGGUGGCUAAGCUCUCCGUCUUUUAUUUUCCGUGAGUUUGGAAUCUCCACGAUACAGCCAUGAGUUACGGGAGGCCUCCGCCUAGAAUUGAUGGCAUGGUGUCUCUGAAAGUGGGCAACCUGACCUACCGAACGACGACCGACGAUUUGCGACGGGUGUUCGAAAAAUUCGGCGAAGUCGGGGAUGUCUACAUCCCGAAAGACAGAUUCUCACGAGAGAGUAGAGGAUUUGCGUUCGUGAGGUUCUAUGACAAACGAGAUGCUGAAGACGCACUGGACGCUAUGGAUGGAAGACUCCUCGACGGAAGGGAAUUGCGAGUCCAGAUGGCCCGCUAUGGACGGCCUUCUUCACCAUACCGCAGGAACAGCCGCAGAAGAAGCCGAUCUGGUUCUCGUUCCCGCCGCCGUUCUCGCAGUCGCAGUCGCAGCCGAUCUCGCUCCCGCUACUCGAGAUCUCGAUCUCGCCGCCGCUCCUACUCCAGGUCCCGGUCCCGCUCUCGUUCUGACAGCAAGAGCUCACGAGGCAGGUCCCGCUCCAGGUCAAAGAGUGCUGACCGAGCAGAACGCACCAGCAAGUCACGUUCCAAGUCCAAAGAUUAAGAUUGAACGUGCAAAUGGUUUUGGGGGAGAGUUGAGCGCUGUUUGGUGCUUCAUUCAAAGGGCGCGAGACCGUGCGCUGUGGUAGCGGUAACGAGUGCUGAGAAUGGGGGUUGCGGUUGCGAGACUAUGCUGAGAUCGGGGUGUUGCGAGCGAGCUCCAGGCUCCAGGCUCCGGGCGUGCUCCAGGCCAGACGAGACAAGCGAGACACGAGACUUGGUCGUGGAGGCCGAGCCUGGCCGAGCCUGGCCGGGACAUGGCGAGCGUGCGGGUUGCUGUUUGGCUGACAUUUUCGGGGCAGGCAGUUUCCUCAGUCGCUGAGUCCGUAAUGUUGGCCACACUCAGAAUUGAGUGUUCAAACAAAAAAAAAUCUCUCCUCGCCUUAACAAUCACAUCAGGCUUUCCCUACUUACACUAUUACACAAUCUUUAAGCAAAUGGUCAAGCAAAGCUGGUCAUAUGAAUUUUUACCAUAUGAUUGUCUUUUUUCUAUUUUGUGAUCCUGUUUUUUGGCCAUUUGCCUCAAGAUUUUUCUUGCCUAUCACCUUGCCUGAAUACUUAAUCCUUCAAAACUUCAACCUUUAUCAUAGUUGCUGCACAAUUUAGCAAGGUGGGUAUUCAGAGAAAUUUUGUCAUUUCUAGUGUAAAUGCAAGGUUCUGUACAGCUGGGCAGAUUUGAGUAGCUAAUUCACUGGCGUUACUCUUCAGUAUCGCAUCUUUCUAAACUCGUAUGCUAGGUGUUAUUCAUGCACCUGCCAUUAACUUAAUUCCCACUCUUGCAGGGGUAGCUAAAAGCAGUUCAACUUAUUUUAUGAAAGUCUGUACUGCCCAAUACCUGCUUCAGGUUCAAUACCCAAUGUUCAAUAUCAAUUGUAGACUGCAUGUUGCCUUUACACAUUUCCUCUGCAUGUGGACAAUAUGACAGUAUAUCCCAUUUUUUUCAUAGCUGCUGAUAUCUAGCCAUACAUUUUCUUUGUUUAAUUUCUGGCUAGAUCAAUGUUGAGUGCUUUUCUUGUACCAUGUAGGGAGGUACAGUACUUUUUAGUUUGGAAAAUAUUUAGCUGAGACACAAGUUUGUAAGAUACAUGGUGUUGGUGUCUCUCCAUUCUAUAUAUAUUUUUUUAAAUUAAAUGAAACCAUGUUGAAUGGUAUGCAUGUGAAGUGCUCUGGUGGUGGCUAUUUCGUGGUGAAAGGCUUGGGACUGAUGUGCUGUUGAAAUGACACUUCAAUCAAGUCAAUUUCUUAUGCCAGACCUACAUUCUGGCAGUUGCACUUAGUAAUAUACAUUUCAAUUAAUGGCAACGAAAGAAAAGAGCUGGUAACUUUUGGAAUCUAAAGACAUUUUUUCCCAUUCUUUUCUUUACAUUUUAUGGAUGGCGUCUUGUCACAUGUUAUUGAUAUUUGUUCUUUUUCAGAUUCUCUGAUGGGUGAAAUUUGCUGUGGAUGUGCCUUUGUUUCAGAGUAAAUAAAAUUCUUGUGCUAAAAA